CGGGGUACAGCUCAGUUGGGAGAGUGCUUGCCUUACAUGCAUAAGCCCUGGGUUCAAUCCCCAGCACCACAC
Ictidomys tridecemlineatus (thirteen-lined ground squirrel) is the source of this 72-nucleotide transfer RNA. It matches the Rfam family "tRNA". From Rfam's summary of the family: Transfer RNA (tRNA) molecules are approximately 80 nucleotides in length. NCBI's taxonomy places the organism in Eukaryota, Metazoa, Chordata, Mammalia, Rodentia, Sciuridae. The record is from Rfam.